RNAcentral lists this ribosomal RNA (279 nucleotides) under uncultured prokaryote. RNAcentral's name for it is "partial 16S ribosomal RNA". The stretch from base 1 to 96 matches the Rfam family "Bacterial small subunit ribosomal RNA", at positions 1438 to 1533 of the family's 1533-position model. The record is from RNAcentral.
CCCUAUGGGGUGCACCAGGCCACGGUAAGGUCAGCGACUGGGGUGAAGUCGUAACAAGGUAGCCGUAGGGGAACCUGCGGCUGGAUCACCUCCUUUCAAGGACACCUGGGGAAGCUUGCUUUCCUGGGUCCUUCAGACGACGUGAGUGACUGGCACUGGGGCGGUUUGGGCCGCCGCCGGCGUAUCCCUUCGCGGCGAUGACUGGGGAGUUCCGGGUGUUGAUCCUGGGGUUUUCCGGGAGCCCGGGCUCGUAGCCCGGGUGGUUAGAGCGCACGCCUG